Long non-coding RNA from Ictalurus punctatus (channel catfish), 1284 nucleotides. NCBI's taxonomy places the organism in Eukaryota, Metazoa, Chordata, Actinopteri, Siluriformes, Ictaluridae. The record is from Ensembl.
CAGGGAGAACACACACACAUCAGAGAAUUCAACGUCAGAGUUUCAUUUCUUUGAAUCAGUCCCUUACAUCUGAGGGAGGUAAGGGCUUGACUCCAGGGCAGGGGUAGAUCAGUGGGUAAGAUGUUGGUGACUCCAGGGCAGGGGUGAAUCAGUGUAUAAGAUGUUGGUGACUCCAGGGCAGGGGUGGAUCAGUGGAUAAGAUGUUGGUUGGCUCCAGAGCAGGGGGAGAUCCAUGGUUAAGAUGUUGGUUGGCUCCAGGGCAGGGGUGGAUCAGUGGAUAAGAUGUUGGUGACUCCAGGGCAGGGGUGGAUCAGUGGAUAAGAUGUUGGUUGGCUCCAGGCCAGGGGUGGAUCAGUGGAUAAGAUGUCGGUUGGCUCCAGGGCAGGGGUAGAUCAGUGGAUAAGAUGUUGGUGACUCCAGGGCAGGGGUGGAUCAGUGGAUAAGAUGUUGGGUAAUUCCAGGCCAGGGGUGGAUCAGUGGAUAAGAUGUUUGUUGACUCCAGGGCAGGGGUAGAUCCGUGCAUAAGAUGUUGGGUGACUCCAGGGCAGGGAUGGAUCAGUGGAUAAGAUGUUGGUGAUUCCAGGGCAGGGAUGGAUCAGUGGAUAAGAUGUUGGUGACUGUAGGGCGGGGUAGAUCAGUGGAUAAGAUGUUGGUUGACUCCAGGGCAGGGGUAGAUCAGUGGAUAAGAUGUUGGGUAAUUCCAGGGCAGGGGUAGAUCAGUGGAUAAGAUGUUGGUUGACUCCAGGACAGGGGUGGAUCAGUGUGUAAGAUGUUGGGUGAUUCCAGGGCAGGGGUAGAUCAGUGGAUAAGAUGUUGGGUGAUUCCAGGGCAGGGGUAGAUCAGUGGAUAAGAUGUUGGUUGAUUCCAGGGCAGGGGUGGAUCAGUGGAUAAGACGUUGGUGACUCCAGGGCAGGGGUGGAUCAGUGGAUAAGAUGUUGGGUAAUUCCAGGCCAGGGGUGGAUCAGUGGAUAAGAUGUUUGUUGACUCCAGGGCAGGGGUAGAUCCGUGCAUAAGAUGUUGGGUGACUCCAGGGCAGGGCUGCAUCAGUGGAUAAGAUGUUGGUGACUGUAGGGCAGGGGUAGAUCAGUGGAUAAGAUGUUGGUUGACUCCAGGGCAGGGGUAGAUCAGUGGAUAAGAUGUUGGGUAAUUCCAGGGCAGGGGUGGAUCAGUGUGUAAGAUGUUGGAUAAUUCCAGGGCAGGGGUGGAUCAAUGGAUAAGAUGUCAGAAUACUGAUUGGAAGGUUUUGAGUUCAAAUCCCAGUGCUGCCACUCUUGGGCCCUUAAC